UUAUAGAGCUCUGUAAUCAAAUUGUUACUAGUAAGAAUUCAAUUGUAGAGCUCUAUAAUUGCAAUUUUUACUAGUAACAAUUGCAUUACAGAGCUCUGUAUUCAGCGCCAUCUUAUUAUGCUAAUCGUGCCUUAUGCAUAUUCAUUUAGGUCGUAUAAAGUUGACUGGGGGAAACAGGUUUUUGUUGCAGUGUUUAUAAUAAUAUAUUACUGUAACUUAAGUAACAACGUCAUGAAAUAAUGGAUGUCGUUAAUAAAGAGAUUAUUUCGCGGAUAACAAUAACUUUAUUUUCAUACGGGGCGUGGUCAGUUUGCAAACACAACACCACUUGCUCGUGUCUCCUGCCUCAGCUCUGACCUUGACAGCAGGCCGGGGUUUUUACACCAGAUCGACAAAUUAGCAGCAUAUUUUAGUUAAACCCUGCGGUUCAUUUUGGGCUUGAGGUCCAUUGGUUGCAUUGAUAUCACUGGCUUGCAUUGGAUUAACAGUGGAAACGCGAGUAGCAUAGACAAGAUGGAUAACAAACAACAUGUCUCUACUGUAACAGCGGCAAAUGUGUAAACUAAACUACAACCGGUACCAAGACAUGACGUGCAUAAUUAUGAUGACUCCAUGAUGUCCCACUUCAUACAUGUCCAUAAGGAUUAUGCUACAGAGGCAUACAGUAGCUAACUGCCACCAGCUGAGGACUGCCUGGUUAAACGUGCUGAAGAGAAAAUAGAAGAUGAGAAGCUGUUUCUCCAGUGUUGUGCUGGUGGAUCCACUAAUAUGCUGUUUCUAGAUCUGUUGUGGUGUGUUAACAUUGCUAUGUUGAAGCCAUUUGACAUAAAGUUUAAGUUCUUGAGAGGUUAUUAAGCACUUUUCAGUCUGAGAUUUAUAAUAACUGAGUUGAACAUGUUCAAGUAUUUCUUCUUUCAUGCAUUUCUCUGUCUCUGUCCAUCUCUUUCUCUAAGUAGUAUGUGAAGCCUGCAGUAGUUCUGUGGCAGUUGUUUGUUUUCUGUGAGUGCUUUGUUAACUAAAAUUGUAUAAAACAGAUUGUCUACCCAUGAAAUCAUCAUUGUGUCUCUUUAACCCUUCAUGUGUUUUGUUAAGAUAUAGUGACUGCAAAGGCCAUAGCAUACUGUAUGAUUGCAUCUUUAUUUUACCAAGUAAUCUGGCAAGACUGAAAGUAGCAUUUAUGCGGAACAAUUUUUUAAAACUUUGAGCAAAAGUUUUUAUCCGAAAUGUUGUGCAGUAACAAGAAACAAGUAACAAGAAAAAUGUGGUUCAAUAAUCUGAUACUGCAGAAUUAUAUACUGUAAAGGUGAGUAAUCAAGUAAUUGUGUACAAUUAGGAUAAACUUUACUUCUGUGUUACUUUCAGCUUUAUAUAUUGCAGCUGUCACACUGACAUCGUGAGAUCAACAUAUGUACAAUUCUAUGCUAAAAUUGUAACUCUGGUCGCUUGAUUCAAAAGUAUAAUAAAUCAAAAUUUUGCCUUGAGGGAAUUUGAACCUCGGUCUCCCGUUUCGUAUGUCAGUAACAGUACCAACACGCCAUAAAGUUAUGUAACACUCCCCAAGUAGCCCUUAGCAAAAUUCACGUUAAACUUAUCAGGGUAGAAAUUUUUAAUAAUAAUUUUGACUUCUACUAUAACAUGAAUUCUCUUAAUAUGUUUGCUGAAAAAGUUUGUAUAUAUAUAUAUAUAUAUAUUAAUUAGAGUAUGUAAAAUCAGGCAUAAAAGGACUUUUAUUUUGAACACAUGCUAUCGCAGGCGGUACUUGGUAAGGAAAUGGCUGCAACACCGCAUCUAUUUAGCAUCUCAUGAAUAGGAGUUUUUACUAGUAAGAAUACAAUUAUAGAGCUCUGUAAUUAGAAUUGUUACUAGUAAAAAUUUAAUUAUAGAGCUCUACAAUUCAGUUGUUACUAGUAAAAAUACAAUUGCAGAGCUCUAUAAUUCAAUUAGAGAGCUCUGUAAUCAAAAUUGUUACUAGUAAAAAUUGAAUUAUAGAGCUCUACAAUUCAGUUGUUACUAGU
Paramisgurnus dabryanus is the source of this 2015-nucleotide non-coding RNA. NCBI's taxonomy places the organism in Eukaryota, Metazoa, Chordata, Actinopteri, Cypriniformes, Cobitidae. The record is from RefSeq and is a predicted model, not a curated record.